AGAAAAAUGUGUCUUAUCAAAGAUCUCAAGCCUUACGGAGAUGAAUGGGGUCUGACUCUCAAAUUGCUUCAUUCCUGGAAACAAAACACCAGUUAUGGAGGAAAUACUCUUGAAUGCGUUCUGGUAGACCAAACAGGUGCUAAGAUACAGGCAUCAUGCAAAGGUUCUCAGAUGUUUCGUGUUCAACGUUACCUACCUAUUGGUGAAUGGAAGGUCGUUGACACCUUUAAAAUAACUGGGCAGGAGAUUAAAUCUGCCUAAUGGAAAGAGUCAUCCUCUGCUCUGUUGAUCUCUGUCAAGAGAUUAAAUCUGCAUAUCUAUUUCAAAUUCAAACAAAAAUAUUUGUAAAAAUUCAUAAUAUGAAUUUCACAUGAAGGAAUAUUGUGAUGGUAACUUCGAAAAUAACUUACGCUUUUUAUAUAUCGCCUUUGAUA
This is a long non-coding RNA of Raphanus sativus (radish), 434 nucleotides long. RefSeq lists it as uncharacterized. The record is from RefSeq and is a predicted model, not a curated record. The transcript is spliced from 2 exons. NCBI's taxonomy places the organism in Eukaryota, Viridiplantae, Streptophyta, Magnoliopsida, Brassicales, Brassicaceae.